RNAcentral lists this ribosomal RNA (425 nucleotides) under uncultured bacterium. Its description in RNAcentral is "bacterial SSU rRNA". It matches the Rfam family "Bacterial small subunit ribosomal RNA", at positions 30 to 460 of the family's 1533-position model. The record is from RNAcentral.
AUUGAACGCUGGCGGCAUGCCUUACACAUGCAAGUCGAACGGCAGCACGGGAGCAAUCCUGGUGGCGAGUGGCGAACGGGUGAGUAAUAUAUCGGAACGUGCCCAGUCGUGGGGAUAACGUAGCGAAAGUUACGCUAAUACCGCAUACGAUCUAAGGAUGAAAGCGGGGGAUCGCAAGACCUCGCGCGAUUGGAGCGGCCGAUAUCAGAUUAGGUAGUUGGUGAGGUAAAGGCUCACCAAGCCAACGAUCUGUAGCUGGUCUGAGAGGACGACUAGCCACACUGGAACUGAGACACGGUCCAGACUCCUACGGGAGGCAGCAGUGGGAAUUUGGACAAUGGGCGCGAAGCCUGAUCCAGCAAUGCCGCGUGCAGGAUGAAGGCCUCGGUUGUAACUGCUUUGUUACGGUAACGGAAACGGUACGG